UCGUAGGUGAACCUGCGGAGGGAUCAUUA
This 29-nucleotide ribosomal RNA is filed under the name Xylaria sp. XF-8. RNAcentral's name for it is "partial 18S ribosomal RNA". The record is from RNAcentral. RNAcentral also lists the same sequence under 1 other name. Lineage: Eukaryota; Fungi; Ascomycota; Sordariomycetes; Xylariales; Xylariaceae.